GCCUGGUUGGUGUAGUGGUUAAAGCACACUCAGAGCCUAGAACUCUGAGAGACCUUGGUUCGAUUCCAAGACUGGGCU
This is a non-coding RNA of Xylariaceae sp. AK1471, 78 nucleotides long. Lineage: Eukaryota; Fungi; Ascomycota; Sordariomycetes; Xylariales; Xylariaceae. The record is from the annotation of a GenBank genome assembly.